UACGUAGGGACCAAGCGUUGUUCGGAUUUACUGGGCGUAAAGGGCGCGUAGGCGGCGCAACAAGUCACUUGUGAAAUCUCCGGGCUUAACCCGGAGCGGCCAAGUGAUACUGUCGUGCUAGAGUGCGGAAGGGGCUACUGGAAUUCUCGGUGUAGCGGUGAAAUGCGUAGAUAUCGAGAGGAACACCUGCGGCGAAGGCGGGUAGCUGGGCCGACACUGACGCUGAGGCGCGAAAGCCAGGGGAGCGAACGGG
This 253-nucleotide ribosomal RNA is filed under the name uncultured bacterium. RNAcentral describes it as "partial 16S ribosomal RNA". It matches the Rfam family "Bacterial small subunit ribosomal RNA", at positions 524 to 776 of the family's 1533-position model. The record is from RNAcentral.